CAGACAGACAGGUCUAUUGGACAGCAUUGCUCCAGAAAGGAGGGACCUCAAAUCUAUCUUGUUCACCAUUUCCCUAGCACUUAGAACAGUGCUCAAUUCAUGCUUGUAUUCAAUGGAUGAAUUAGUUGAUGCUGAUGCUUCCGCUGAGAGCCUCCUGCUCUCCUCUGCUGCUGAUGCUCUCUCCUUCUGUCCCUCAGGGAAGGAUGAAGCCAGCAGUGUGGAGGUGACGUGGCCAGAUGGCAAGAUGGUGAGCCGGAACGUGGCCAGCGGGGAGAUGAACUCAGUGCUGGAGAUCCUCUACCCCCGGGAUGAGGACACACUUCAGGACCCAGCCCCACUGGAGUGUGGCCAAGGAUUCUCCCAGCAGGAAAAUGGCCAUUGCAUGGACACCAAUGAAUGCAUCCAGUUCCCAUUCGUGUGCCCUCGAGACAAG
This 433-nucleotide small RNA is filed under the name Pan troglodytes (chimpanzee). RNAcentral describes it as "processed transcript". The record is from RNAcentral. Lineage: Eukaryota; Metazoa; Chordata; Mammalia; Primates; Hominidae.